RNAcentral lists this ribosomal RNA (254 nucleotides) under uncultured bacterium. RNAcentral's name for it is "partial 16S ribosomal RNA". It matches the Rfam family "Bacterial small subunit ribosomal RNA", at positions 524 to 776 of the family's 1533-position model. The record is from RNAcentral.
UACGUAGGGUGCGAGCGUUGUCCGGAAUUAUUGGGCGUAAAGAGCUCGUAGGCGGUCUGUCGCGUCGGUCGUGAAAACUUGGGGCUUAACCCUGAGCUUGCGGUCGAUACGGGCAUGACUGGAGUUCGGCAGGGGAGACUGGAAUUCCUGGUGUAGCGGUGAAAUGCGUAGAUAUCAGGAGGAACACCGAUGGCGAAGGCAGGUCUCUGGGCUGACACUGACGCUCAUGCACGAAAGCGUGGGGAGCAAACAGG